GUGUCAGCCGCCGCGGUAAUACGUAGGGUGCAAGCGUUGUCCGGAAUUAUUGGGCGUAAAGAGUUCGUAGGCGGUUUGUCGCGUCCGUUGUGAAAGCUUGGGGCUCAACCCCAAGUCUGCAGUGGAUACGGGCAGACUAGAGUCAGGUAGGGGAGAACGGAAUUCCUGGUGUAGCGGUGAAAUGCGCAGAUAUCAGGAGGAACACCGGUGGCGAAGGCGGUUCUCUGGGCCUGUACUGACGCUGAGGAACGAAAGCGUGGGGAGCGAACAGGAUUAGAUACCCCCGUAGUCC
This 292-nucleotide ribosomal RNA is filed under the name uncultured bacterium. RNAcentral's name for it is "partial 16S ribosomal RNA". It matches the Rfam family "Bacterial small subunit ribosomal RNA", at positions 505 to 796 of the family's 1533-position model. The record is from RNAcentral.